Molecule: long non-coding RNA, 1405 nt
Filed under: Capsicum annuum
Lineage: Eukaryota; Viridiplantae; Streptophyta; Magnoliopsida; Solanales; Solanaceae
Description: long non-coding RNA (CANN_LNC019816)
Source: RNAcentral
AAGAAUUAGACCUUAAUUAUCGAUUUCAAUAUAUCGAAGAUAGAACCGCAUCCAAAAAACCUGACGUAAACCUCAAUAAUGAACUCCAUCCGACUUUGAUCUAACCUUUUUGUUCUGUUUUCGUCAACUCAGCUCCGUAUAUAACAUUACUGUUUCAUUCAUUUUUCAAUGAAUUUUCCCGAAGCUGGGGCUGGUUGGAUCAGUUUUGGUAGUUUUUUGAUGGAUGUCGAGGCGGGUUUGAGCUGGGAGCUUCGCUGAAGCUCCGACGAGCUCGGCAGUGAUGAAAUCAGAGAAAAAGGGCAACAAUAACAUUUUUUUGGCGAGUCCUUCGCCACCAUUUUCCACUGUUCACCCUCAUUUUGCCGUUCUUCACUCUCCUCUCUCCUUUAUCUUUAAUCCCACUCCAAUCUCCCUUUCUGAUUGUGUGUGUAUGCGUCGUUGUGCGUGGGUCGUUGUACAUUGGAACAGUUUCUCACUUCUCAUUGGUUCCGUGUGUGUGCGUAUAUCCUCCUAUGUGUGAGUGAUGUGUGUGUUUUCAAGUGAGAGUGAGUGAAUUUUGCUGUGAAUUCAGUCAAAUGGAGGAGUAUAUGUGAGUAUUGAGUGUAUUGUUGUGUAUUGGUGUAUAUGGAUCUUGUUGUGUGUGUGCAACUGUGUGUAUGCGCAUAUUGAUGGUGAAGGGAGGUUGAAGGUGAGUAGUGUAUAUAUCAAAUCCCUCUUUCACUGGUAUGUGGUGUGUAAUUCUGUUAUGGUAUAUUCAAACCCACGUUGAAGCGCCAGAAAUACAUAUGAGUUUCCUCUAACCACUGAGCUAUCCAUCAGUUUUGUUAUGGGUUCCCACCUUUAAAUAUUUAUACCUUUUAAUAAUAUUUCUUAUUUAAUUAUAUGUCUUACGGUAGCGGUUGUAGGUUUUCGGGAACCCACACCCGCUAUCGUAGAUCCGUCCUUGGAGGUGGAGGUAGGGUGAGUUUGUUAAAUUUGUUAGGAUAAGGUGGUUAUGGAUUUGAUUAUUUUUGUCCUUUUGGAAAAAAAUUAUGGAAUGGUGUGGGGUGUAUGAUAAGAUAAAUGAGGAAAAGUGAUAUCGGAAAGGGAUAAAAUUACGUAUCUACACUCACUACCUCUUUAUUCAUAUAUAAUUGAUGACUGCAGAUCCCUCGUGAAGCUACUGCAUGAUCCACCUAUCUACCACAUGUAGAGGGAAUUCAACAUGAUAUUUGAUAGUUUGGCAAAUUUUGGCACCUCAAUCAUGAGAAGUGAAAUUACCUUCUGGUUCAAAGCUCCUCCCUUUGUACUUGCACUCUGGAAAAAGAUGCCUUUGUACUUGCACUCUGGAAAAAGAUGGGAAAAGAUUUAGUGUUGACAAACCCCCCACCACCACCACCCACCCUCGAGCUUUCCAGGGUUUCUG